AGUGAACGCUGGCGGUAGGCCUAACACAUGCAAGUCGAACGGCAGCACAGUAAGAGCUUGCUCUUACGGGUGGCGAGUGGCGGAUGGGUGAGGAAUACAUCGGAAUCUACUUUUUCGUGAGGGAUAACGUAGGGAAACUUACGCUAAUACCGCAUACGACCUACGGGUGAAAGCAGGGGAUCUUCGGACCUUGCGCGAUUGAAUGAGCCGAUGUCGGAUUAGCUAGUUGGCGGGGUAAAGGCCCACCAAGGCGACGAUCCGUAGCUGGUCUGAGAGGAUGAUCAGCCACACUGGAACUGAGACACGGUCCAGACUCCUACGGGAGGCAGCAGUGGGGAAUAUUGGACAAUGGGCGCAAGCCUGAUCCAGCCAUACCGCGUGGGUGAAGAAGGCCUUCGGGUUGUAAAGCCCUUUUGUUGGGAAAGAAAAGCAGCAGGUUAAUACCCCGCUGUUCUGACGGUACCCAAAGAAUAAGCACCGGCUAACUUCGUG
Molecule: ribosomal RNA, 492 nt
Filed under: uncultured bacterium
Lineage: Bacteria
Description: partial 16S ribosomal RNA
Rfam family: Bacterial small subunit ribosomal RNA
Source: RNAcentral